GGGAGUGUAUAAAUAAUAACAUGUUUAAUAUUGAGUUGACAGGAAGUGUGUUCAACUGCUGUGUCUGAACUGUUUCCCUCUUAGAAAAGUCAUAAGAAAAAUGAACAGUAGGUUUUACUGUAUGUACGUAGUACUGUGGUCUUACCUGUACUGUACGUACAUGGUAUGUACAGUACAGGUGGAGUGAGGCGUGUCUUUAAAACAAUCUGAACGUUAAUCUGUUUUCUACCAUGUAUUCAGGGUCGUGUACAGAGACAAACAGACUCAAUUAAAAAUGAACAGUUAACCUUCAAAUCUGUGUUUUUAGAAUUUGAACCCACUGACAGGACGGCACUGUGUGAAAAAAAACUCACUCUGUUUUGCAAUAUUGUGGGGAACCAAUGAGCAUGUUGUUGCUGUGGUGGCAGCGACGGCCAUGCUGAGACUUGUACUUGUAGCAACUUUAGCACAUAUUUUUCUCCCCCCUUAGGGUGUUUGUGGACAAAAACAAGACUGUAACUUUAUAUAAGGAUCAAAAAUCAUAACAUUAACCCCGCCCCAGGGUCUGAUCCACCCAGGAGGUGGGAGUUACACAUACAGGUGGGAAUGACAAAACCUUCCCCAUGGGUCCAAACAUGAUCACGUUUGAUUAUUAACAGGAGCUAAUGUUACCUGACUGUGUCCAACAUUCAAUGGCGUCUUUCUCUGAACUACAGUCACACUUUAACCGCCGAGUAUCAUCACUCAACACUGUGUGGGCGGGGGGGUUACAGGCCAAACCCCAACCUUUAAAAACUUUUGAUAAAACAACCUACAGUAAACAUCAUUCAGAUGAAACGUACAGUUUGUUCGUCACACACGGAGGGGAAUGUGAGGACAGAGCCGCCAGGGUAAACGGGAUGGGCAAAGACUGAGGAAGUGACGCGAACGUGCAGGAUGAGCGCGCCCUCGACUUUUCCAGACAGUGGCGAGUCCAGGCCAGGGCCAAGGGUGGCGACGGCGGCCACCCUUUGAAAACUGCUGUCUUUUAAAACCAUCUACCUCCGAUACAUUUUUCCGAGGACGACACGUGACGCACGAGACGCGACGAUGGACAUUUACAGAGUAACUUUGUCAAUGGAGAGUAAAGUUGACUUGUUGACGCAACUCUGGAAAUCUAUCUAAUCAAAAUUAUACUGAGGUUUAGGGUUAGUACAAGUAUCUGCUUCUGGAUGCGCUCUGGAUGUAUGAAGUUAAUUGAAAAUUACAUUACAUUUAGCAGAUGCUUUUAUUCAAAGCCACUUACAAUUUGAGUCAGCCAAUCAACAAUCAAGCCACAGUAAACAGACAAAAAUACAUAAAUAAAAAUAAAAAGUAUCAAUUAAUAAAAAGGUCCAGUUCUAGUCAUAGUAGUUCAUAGAGUAAGAAGGGGUUUAUGUUGAUGUCAGUGGGUUUGUUAGGAGACGACACUGUAAUACGGUAUAUAAUGGUAUGUAUAUAUGUAUAUGUAUAUUGUCAUGAAUAAUGCUAUAUAUGUGUAUAUAUAUAUAUAUAUGUAUAUAUAUAUAUAUAAUAUUAUUAGGAAUAAUAAUAAUAAUAAAUGAAAAGAAGUCUUAAUGUUCAAGAGGUAUUGAAGACUCUGGCUGCAGCGCCACCUGUUGAAGAAAAUGUUCCUCUUCCACUGCGGCUCUCUGUACUUUUCUCUUUAUUUUUGUAUACUUAAAUACUGCGAUUUUUAUAUCCUACAAAUCUUUCUCUAAAUAUGAUGGAAUGUAUGUGUAUGUGGCACUGUUAACUGUAUUCUGUUUUUAAUUGUUAUUUUUCUUCUUUUGGGAUUAUUAUCUGUCUUCCAGUGUCCAUAUUUAUCUCAUCUAAAUCAGUGCUCCAGAAGGAGAGUAUGUUAGGACUCUUUUAGAAAACCGACAAAUUCCUAGGUUUUAUGAAAUGUUUUAAGCCUAAAAAGUUGUGUGGUUAAUGUGUAACUUUGUUGUCACACAGAGACUUGUUUCUUUUCAUGGAAAAAGAUGGUUUUGAGUUGACGUUUGUCUUUAUUUGUGACACAUGAAAUGACUUUAUCCACUGAAGGUCCAGAUAAAGAGGGAUUCUCAUCCAAAGACUGAGAGAAACAAAGUCUGUGUUCAUAUUCAGGAGAGAACUGACACUUUGGGAGUACUUUGACCUCCUUCCUGUCAAGGGUUGAAAAAAUAGGAAGACAACCAAACUCCAGGUUCUCAAACAAUGGUGUCACGUUGAAUCAUUGUUCUUGAGAUCUUGUCAAAAUGCUGAACAUAUUUGUGAGAUGACGUGCUUAAAACACAACAAUGCAAAAUACAUGUUUGAACAGGAGUUGGUGAUUUAAUUUUAAUCAUAUACAGUACAUUAUAACAUAUAUUGACCACAUGCAAAUAUACAGACCAAAUAUACAUUGCUAGUGCAUUUACACACACACACACAGUUAUUAUUUAAAUUACACAAGAACAGAUUCCUUUGGCAGAAACCAGUGUGUCAUUCCUGUGGGGGUGAGACUCACAGACAGGAAAUGACUCCACUCUGUGUAACACACACACACACACACACACUCAUUCAAUGACUUCCCACAGCUGUGUGUUGCUCACAUGGAGCAUGGUAGGUAAUGAAUACAAGUCACCUAAACAAAUGAGUAAAUGUAUAACAUUUAUGUUGUGUACAUGAUUGAUUGGCUGCUGUUAUCCUGCAGGACUCCUCUCAUAUCCUUCUCUAGUGUUUGGGUAGCUGCCAUCAUUCACUUGGCAGAACCCACAGGAGGCUGUAUUCAAUAUAAUCUCUCAAACUUUACAAGAACUAAGUGCUUUUCACUAUUACUCAAAGUGUAUCUAUGACAUAUAUGUAUAUGUGUGAGGCAUCAGUCUGUAAUUACUGAUUAAUGUCACAGCACAUGUUGUUUUUCAACGUAUAUUCUGACAAGUGUGUUUCUUUGUGAGCAGUGGUGGCUUAGUGGCUAAGAAAGUGGACUUGGGUCUGGAAGGCUUCAGGUUGGAGUCCACCAGAUGCCAAGUUACCAAUGAGGUGCUCUGAGCAUGGCAACAUCCCCACACACUGCUCCCCUUAAAGCUGCCCCCUGCUGGCUGUGGUGAUAGGCUAAAAGCAGAGGUUCAAUUUUGUUGUAUCCCCGUGUUACAAUGACAAUAAAGACUAUCAUUUAA
Molecule: long non-coding RNA, 3140 nt
Organism: Cynoglossus semilaevis (tongue sole)
Lineage: Eukaryota; Metazoa; Chordata; Actinopteri; Pleuronectiformes; Cynoglossidae
Exons: 2
Source: RefSeq, a predicted model, not a curated record